UACGUAGGGGGCAGGCGUUAUCCGGAAUUACUGGGUGUAAAGGGAGCGUAGACGGUAAUGUAAGUCUGGAGUGAAAGGCGGGGGCCCAACCCCCGGACUGCUCUGGAAACUAUGUUACUAGAGUGCAGGAGAGGUAAGCGGAAUUCCUAGUGUAGCGGUGAAAUGCGUAGAUAUUAGGAGGAACACCAGUGGCGAAGGCGGUCUGCUGGACAGCAACUGACGCUGAGGCGCGAAAGCGUGGGGAGCAAACAGG
RNAcentral lists this ribosomal RNA (253 nucleotides) under uncultured bacterium. RNAcentral's name for it is "partial 16S ribosomal RNA". It matches the Rfam family "Bacterial small subunit ribosomal RNA", at positions 524 to 776 of the family's 1533-position model. The record is from RNAcentral.